This 303-nucleotide ribosomal RNA is filed under the name uncultured bacterium. RNAcentral's name for it is "partial 16S ribosomal RNA". It matches the Rfam family "Bacterial small subunit ribosomal RNA", at positions 507 to 807 of the family's 1533-position model. The record is from RNAcentral.
AGCAGUAGCCGCGGUAAUACGAAGGGUGCAAGCGUUACUCGGAAUUACUGGGCGUAAAGCGUGCGUAGGUGGUGGUUUAAGUCCGUUGUGAAAGCCCUGGGCUCAACCUGGGAAUUGCAGUGGAUACUGGGUCACUAGAGCGUGGUAGAGGAUAGUGGAAUUUCCGGUGUAGCAGUGAAAUGCGUAGAGAUCGGAAGGAACAUCUGUGGCGAAGGCGACUAUCUGGGCCAACACUGACACUGAGGCACGAAAGCGUGGGGAGCAAACAGGAUUAGAUACCCCCGUAGUCCCUGUCUCUUAUAC